This 91-nucleotide transfer RNA is filed under the name Streptomyces mashuensis. RNAcentral describes it as "tRNA-Val". The record is from RNAcentral. Lineage: Bacteria; Bacillati; Actinomycetota; Actinomycetes; Kitasatosporales; Streptomycetaceae.
CCGUCUGGUAGCCCAGGUGCCGGGGGAGGACCUCGACGUGGAACUCCAGGGCCCCGGCACGGCGCAGCUGUUCGAGACGCCGCCGGACGGU